GGACAUUAAAAGAUUAGGGGGAUGUGGGCACGUGCUGGCUUCUGGAGAAGGAGACAAUGCUUGAUUUAGGAUGGAACUUGUCUGCGACGGCCGACAAAGGAGGGAGGCUGGAGCGAGGCAGGGGUCAGCGGAGCUCUUGCUCAGGGGGAGACAAAGGCAAGGGAGGAAGGAGAGGAGGAGCAGAAGUGAGAAGCGGCUGCAGCGUGCUCUGAAAAGGCCGCCGCGGUCUUGCAACAGCUGCUCCCGCACAAGAAAUUUGAGACGGUCUUUUCACAAACACAACGGCUGUCAGAAGAAUAGGGAGGCCACACUUCGCCAGAAUGAGUCGUUUGCAAUUGAAAAGGGGAACUGAGAGCUCCCAGUGCUUUCAAAGGUCUGUAUCUACAGCACUACGAAAUGAUUAGUCAAAGUACAUCGUGGAACAGGAGGAAAGUGUGCCGCAGACCAUAGGGGGAAGUAAAUCCUUGCGGUGCUGUUAAAAGUUGAUGCAGCAGCCAUUCUCUGCAGUAUGUGGCACAGAAGAAAGCAUCCACCCAGCUCUCCUGCUGAGACUCCAGUCAACUCUUUUCUGGCCAGUUGAAUUCUCAGCUUCUUUAAAGCAGCCCCUGCUGUCUGCCUGACAAAAUACCGUAGGCAUCUCAGGAUUUCUUGUAACACACCAGACAGAGAAGCUGAUCCUUCCAUGGAGCAGGCCAGCAUGGUUUCUCUGCCCUGGAAGCUACUGGAAUGUUCCACCAAGAAGAGGUUAAGCUAUGCUGGGUCUUGCGUACCAUGAGGUGCAAGGCAUACUGCCUGUGUAGCAGCUCUCCCUGUAGCAUCUCUUCUGAGGAAAAAGGACUGAAAUUUCCACAUCUGUAAACUUUACCAUUGUGUAAGUGUUGGUUUCCCACAAAAAUGGGAAUACAUGAACUGUGUGAUGAACUCUGGUGUGAUUGCAGCGACCAUGGUUGCCAUGAUCAUGAGGUGGUGGAGUUCAGGAUCUCAUGUGGCCAGAACAGAAUACCGAGCAGAAUCACAACCCUGGACUUCAGGAAGGCCAACUGUGGCCUUUUCAAGCAACUGCUAGGGGAAAUCCCAUGGGACAGGGUACUUGAAAGGGCCCAAGAUAGUUGGUUAGCAUUCAAGGACUGCUUCUUCCAAGCUCGAAAUCAGAGCAUUCAAACAGGCAGGAAGUUGAGAAAGGGAGCCAGGAGAUCUGUGUGAUUAAACAGGGAACUGCUGGGCAAGGAAGUGGAAAAGGAGAGUUUACAGAUCAUGGAAGGAGGGGCUGGUCACUUGGGAGGAAUAUAAGACUGUUGUCAGAGGAUGUGGGGAGGCAAAUAGGAAAGCUAAGGCCUCCUUAGAAUUAAACCUUUGUAGAGGGGUCAAGGACAACAAAAAGGGAUUUUUCAAAUACACUGCAGAUAAAACUAAUACUGGAGGCAAUGUAGGUCCACUGAUGAAUGAGGUGGGUGCCCUGGUGACAGAAGACACAGAGAAGGCAGAGUUACUGCUGGAGGCUGUCCUGAUGAUCUCUGUACCCCUGAGUCCCCAGAGGAAAUCAGAAUAAAGGAAGAGUUUGUCUCAGUUGAUGAGGACUGGGUUAUGGGCCAGUUAAGCAAUCUGGACAUCCAUGAAUCCAUGGGCCCUGAUGGGAUUCAUCCGCGGAUGCUGAGAGAGCUGGUAGAAGUCAUUGCUAGGCUGUUCUCCAUCACUGGUAAGUUGUGGGGAAUGGGAGAGCUGCCUGAGGGCUGGAGGAAAGCAAAUGUCACCUCAGUCUUGAAAAAGGGCAAGAUGAGGACCCUAGUAACCAUAGACCAGUUAGCCUCACCUCCAUCCCUGGAAAGGUGAUGGAACAACUUAUCCUUGGCACUGUCUCUAGGCAUAGGAUAAGAAGGAUAGAAAGGAUCAGAUCAUUAGAGUUAGUCAGCAUGGCUUCAACAAGGGAAAGUCAUGCUCGACCAACCUGAUAGCCUUUUAUGAAGAAAUAAUCAGGUAGACAGAUGAUGGUAAAGCAGUGCUAUCUUGAUUUUGGUAAAGCAGUGCUAUCUUGAUUUCAGUAAAGCAUUUGAUAACAUCUCCCACAGCAUCCUCACAGCUAAACUGAGGAAGUGUGGUCUGGACAAUUGGGUAGUGAGGUGGAUUGUGAACUGGCUGAACGGAAGAAGCCAGUGAGUUUUAGUCAGUGUGGUGGAGACUAGUUGGAGGCCUGUGUCUAGUGGAGUCCUUCAGGGAUUGGUACGAGGACUGGUGCUAUUCAAUAUAUUCAUCAGUGACUUAGAUGAGGGGACAGAGUGCAUGGUCAGCAAGUUUGCUGAUGACACAAAACUGGGAGGAAUGGCUGACAGGCCAGAAGGCUGUCUUGCCAUCCAGUGAGACCUAGACAGGCUAGAGAGUUGGGUGGGGAACAAUUUAAUGAAAUACAAAAAGGGGAACUGUUGGAGAGCAGAGUAGGGGAAAGGGACCUGGGGGUCCUGGGGUAGACAUCAGGAUGACAGAUUUUUUUCUCUCACGUGUGUUAUUGCCAAGUCUCAAGACAGUCUUUGGUUUUCAAAGUUUGUGGGCUUUUUUUUUCUUGUCUGUUUGUUUUUGUGAUUGUUUAAUUUUGAUUUUGUUUACAGGAUCUAAUAUAAGGUACCCUCCAAAUGCCUCACAGUCCUGAGCACCCCCUGAUGUGUGGCAGCCCUCCUAAAGUAGACCUUCUUUUGGUGUAGCACAUGCCAAAGCACUGAUAAACAGAUCACUCGAACACUGGCUCGGAGUGUACCCACUUACUGUUGAGUAGAAAUCCCUGUGUUUAUAGCACUGAGUUCUUAAGGCCUUGCCUAUCUGAUGAAGAUAGAGCAUUAAUCUGUCUGUGUGUUUUGGGAAUUCAGACACAGUAGCAUUCAACUUCAUAUGGCAACAAAAUGGUGUGGUCAAGGGAAGAUGCAGGCAGAAGACACACUGCAAGUGUCAUACUCCAAGUAACAAGGGCAGUUUGUUUUUUCUAUAUUUUCUUAAAGCAAAUGUGAUUUUGUUUGUUUGUUGACAGCUAUGUUCUAAGUAAAAAUGUUUGAAGGCUUUUGAAAAAUAAAAUAAAUAUAUUAGACCAGUAUUCCGGAGGGCAUUUAUGUGUAGUCAGUUAAAAGCUUUUGGACGAAACUGAAAUAAGCAAUGAAUGACUUUUCAGAAUUCUCUAGUGGCAUUUUUCUUGGUAAUAUUUCCCCCUAUCUUUGUUCACCAGUGCAGCAUGGUAUACAAGGAAAUUCCCGUAUGUCACCUCAUUUGACCCUGAGAGCCUGGCUUGUGAGCAGAUACUGUGCUCAAUUUUUGGCCAUGCUGCUGCCUGGCUCCUCUGAAGAAGCACUGCUGCAGGUAGAUAUAGAAAGGUCCAACACCGUGCCCCCAUUUCUAAGUGGGAUGAUGGGCAGACAGGCAUGCGUGUAUUAUGCUGUCUAAAUGUUGGAGUGCCUGUUUACAGAACAGGGAAGCCAGGAGGCUAAGCUUUUGUUUUAGUGAUUCUCUAAAUGCACAGACAGGGAAUAGUACUCUGAGGUCUGGGGCAGCCACCCUUGAGAAGAGGGAGAGGCAAGACAUUGCAGAAGAGCACUGAGAGCACCUGUGUGUACUGUUCUUGCUUUCUGUAACUGCUCAAAAGAAAUUAAGGGGAAGUUCAUAGUAAGGUCCUGAAUUAUUAUUAUUAACACUUGCUCCAGGUGUUGUAAAAAUUAAAAACAAAACAAAACAAAACAAAAAAACGACAUGGCAAACACAGGAAAAAAGGAAAAAGCUUCAGCUGGGAGAAAAACUGAAGCCAGAAAAAGGUAAGUUUAAGAGAUAGCAGUUCCUGGCAGAAGAGAGACCCCAGGACACAUUUGGAGGACAGAUUUUCUGGGCUGGAAAAGGCUUUGAAGGAAACAUGAAGGAAAAAAUUAAAAAGGAGGGAAAAAGGAGAAAAAGGCCUUGUUUGCACUCUAAGUCCCAGAAGUGAUAACCACAUCCUCUUUCCACAGCUGCUUUUCUUUAACUGCCCUGCCACUGCCGUGUAUAUGGUCAGUGCUCGCAUUUGGAGUGUGAAUCUGUCACUUAGCAAUGAUGAGGAGGCACUUGCUCCUGACCUUUUUCUUUGAGUGUUUCAAUAAUUUAUAGCUGUGAAGUUUGUUCAGCCGGUAGGCUAAGGUCCGUGUACCACCUCGCAGCCCUGAUAUGUCCUAAGUUUGGCAGACCAAAUACAGGGCUGAUGUAUAACACUGCAAUCAACCAGGGCAACACUGUCUUCCUCUUCCAUCCACACAUAAUGACUUGGUUUUGGUGAUAAUAUAGAAAAAAAACAUAUUGAAAACUGGGUUAUAUGCUGGCCUCAGCUAGCAGAGUAAGAGCAUGUAAUAAACAUCCUCAUUAACAGAUCUGUUCAAAGGCAGUAUGCAGCAAUACUGCUUCUGUGCCUGAGCAGGGGGAUGGAGCUGGGAAAACAGCCUAGCUCAACUGCAGGUAGCCCAGAUGAUCAUGAGUCUCUAGAAGAUGGAGUCUGCCCUCAGGAAGGGCAGGCUGGCCAGGGCAGCAUGCCUGUGGCAGACCCUGAUUGCCCCUACAUCCCUCUGGCAGCAAUAAUGCAAAUGGUGGGGCUUGUAUUUUCAGGACUGCUGGGAGUUUUAUUGCAGGUGUGUGCAGAACUUGCACAAAAGUACUGCACAGGAGAGAGGCCCCAGCUCACUUGCAGCAGCAGGCUUGCUCUUUGGAAGCCAGUGGCUUGUUCCAAGAUUGAUGGCAAGUAAUAGCAGAAGCCUGUGUCAUUUUGCUACUUUCCAGACUCCAACUUUUCAGAAGGUGAUAUUGCCUUUCAGCUGAAUUGCUUUGGACUCUCCUGACCUUUGCUCUGUUGAGAACUGAAUUAGCCAUCUUGCUGUAGCUAAACCUUCACUGCUGCUACAGAAAUGUGUAGUAAUAAAAUAAAUUGGCUCACAGUGACAAAAUUGAGUGACAUUUUACUUCACAGAACUGUAUGAUAGCCUCGCACUUUACAGCAUCUUCUAAGCAAAAAAAAAAAAAAAAGUUUUCACUUAGAUUUUUUUUUCUUCUUUAAUUAUUUUUCUCUUUACCUCCUUAUAACUUGUCCCUCCCAUUUUUUAUUAACAUCUGUGGUCUGAUAUUGUCUCACAUUAUGUUUUCAAAGCAUAUAAACACAUGAAAAGUAUUACUGAGCUAUAAGAAAUCAGGCAAGACAGGAAUCAAAAUAAUAAGGAACAGUAUAAAGUAUUCUAAAUAUAUUUCUCAGUGUUGCCCCUUUGUGAGGGAGGGAGGAAUGUCAUUGCUUGGAGCAAAUCUACGGGGCAAUGUGUGCUAAAAAAGCACCACAGUGCCUCUAUUUCCUUCAUAUCUGUGAAAAUCUGAAAGACCAAAAGAGCUAGCAAGUUACGAAGGUAAAAAGGAAGAGGUUACUGCAAAUAUCAGUGAGGGAGCUCACUGCUUACAUGAGACAAAAGAGAACCAGCUGGGAAGCUGAAUUUUGGGGGAUGCAAGCAGUAAAUGUAAUUGAUGUGGUACUGCAAAGGGCUGAGUGCCUUUCUGAACAAUGGCUUGUGUCUUGGUUCUGUCAGGAGGGCUGCUGGUCUCUGACCAGACUCAAUCCAGAGAAAUUGGCAUUGUUUUUAGUGUAGCAAGAUACAGCAAAUAGAGUGAAAGCUAGUGGUGUCUGUACAGGUUAUCCAGUCAUUGCUGCAAGAAUAAAUCACUGUCACACCCUCUGUGCAGGGUAAUCUUUAUCUCAAAUGUGCUUCUGUUAAACAGAAUUACAAGAUAAAACAAAACAAACCCCACCAUUCUCCUCUCUCUGCCUAUUGAUUCUGUUAUGUGCUCAAACAAGUAGCACAGUGCCUAGCAAGCUGGAGUGGUGCCGCCUUGCAAUUUGGGAUGUUUAUCCAGGAUUGCAGAAAGCAUGCAACAAUUUUGACUGCAAAGGUUUAUUGCAUUUUCUGGGAAUACUGGUUCUGUUCUAGAAUGCAGUCUUUCCAAGCAGGCCAAGAAGCAUCAUUUUUUAAUGGGACAAGUCUUUAGCAGACACCUCUAUGAUUAGAAUUUUCCCUGUGCAAUUUUUGGAGAAAGUGUGUUUGUGUGCUACUUUGGGGGAAAAAAUAAAUGCAUACUUUGGAAAAUCUACAGAGUAAAAAAAUACUUGUGAUAUUAAUCUGUUGUGCUAUUUUUAUAUGUUGUGGUAGUUUCUUCUUAUGAAAUAUUUGCAUGCAAAAUAAAAUAUGAGUUAAAAAUCCAAAGUGCAAUUGAGAUUCACAAAUGAAUAACAUCCUGCAAACUUUUCUGCUCAUUGAGUCACUUUAAUGUAUUUAUUUUUUAAUGUUAGUGAACUUCUCUUUGAUAUUGGUAAGAAAACCCACAAAACUUCACUAACAUUCAGAUCUUCUGAAUAACUUUCCCACAUAAGAGGGGAAUUUUUCUUGUGGUUUUUCAAUAGAUACUCAGUCUGUUUUGGCUAAGCACCUUCAUAAGUUUUUUCUUCUAAGUCUAAGGCUUUUUCAAGAGCUUGCAGGUGGAUUAGAAAACAGUGCUCUGCUUUCAACUUUCUGUUUCUGGUCUACGAUAAAAGAGAAUCAUAUUUUCUAUUAUUUUCUAACUAGCUUUUUUAUAACUGAGAAGAGGCUUGUGUGAGAAAUGAAGAACAUCAAAGGCUAGUGGAAGUUAACUCAGGUGUAUCACUAGCAAAUUGUCUUAAAUAUGGAAGUUGUAGGCUAUACGACCAGUUCAAAAUACUGUUGCUUCACUUUCCCUUUAUUUCCUUAAAACAAGUAAAAUGACUGUUUUGGAAAAGUGUCGUCAUGAUGUUAAAUUGACCUUAAAAUUGCAACCCAAGGAAGUUUGUUUGGGCAUAAGGGUCAAGUGAGCUGCAGUUUCUGGGAUUUAUUUACCUAAUUGUCCAUCAAAACAAGUUACAUGUUUUGGUAAGUAAGCUGGAGCAAGUAUACAAAACUUUCUAACACUCCACAGAAACAACUGUACUGCCAUAUUGAUUUGUUUACUGUAUUGUUCAGUGUCUGCUUAUGUGUGUUUACAUUUUUUUGUGCACCCUGGAGAUUCAUCUGACUUUCAUUAAUGCUUAAGAUAGACUUAUUUGCUAACAAAAAUUAUUCAUGAAUGAAAAUUAUUGUUUCUUUUCAAAAUGGCCCAAACUUUGAGUGAGAUCUGCAUUCUCAAUCCUAAACAGUGAAUUGAUGUGUGUUGGCAGGAGCCAAGUUGUUCCUUAUAUAUGAAAUUUCUUGUAAAUAGUGUUUGCAGAUUUCUCAGGAUUUCUGUGUGUCCACUCUCUAGUGUGGUAUGGGUUAUGUGGCUUUGUACAUUCCCCGUUUCUGUGAAAUGAUUGGCUUUGUGCAAUUUGGUGAGGAAGCAGAUCUUUAUUUAUUUAUUUAUUUAUUUAUUUAUUUAUUUAUUAAGAGAUGAAGAGGUUUCACUCAUAAAAAGAUGGUCUCUGCAGGAAGAGUCCUCCUCUGGUACUUCACUGCCUCUGAAGAUGCUGAGCCAAGGAGCCUGAGAGUAGUGCAUUGCAUGCACUAUGCCUCAAGACUCCCUGAGUUCCAAAGAUCUUCUGGGAACCUCAUUCCAGAAGUAAAGCAGAGUGAUCUGUCCAGGGAACUGGCUCCAGUCUUUCAGGUAUGAUGUCAUAAUGAGUUUCUGGGACAGUCCUGGCUUUCCCAGCACCUCUGUCCUGGAUUAGUGCUGGGAGUCAGAGCCAGGUAUACAUUGUAUACACUGAACCCACAUGGGCUCCACCAGUGCAAAGGAGCUGGGGAAGGGAGGUCAGGGAAUUCAUAUACUUGUAUCUGUGCAAGUAUCCUGUCCUGCUUGGCUGGUAUUCCUAUCCUGCUUCCUAUUCUAACCUCCUCUGCAGUUCUGUUCAGUAUCUACUCCUUCCUUAGAAAGUGCCAUCCAAAGCUAGCCAAGUGGAUCAGGUCUGUGGACAUUUGCACAACACUGGUGUGUCCUGUACUCUCCUGCACAAAUUCUGGCUGUUGCAAGAUGAAGUUGCUUUUGUCCUGUUCCAGAUGCCCUCGCACCACAGCUGAUAGCAGGAUUGCAUCAUUUUUCCUUGGGCCCCUUGCAGCCCCAGGUGCUGGCACCUCACUCUGGAAUGGUUAGUUGUACCCAGUGAUGGCAGAUGCCCAUCAGCAGCUUGCUGCUGGUCACACUGACAUGCCACUGAGCAAAUAUAAGAGAUACCCAUAAUGCAAAGCAGCUGCACCAAGAAGUUGCUCUUUAAAUAAUUAGAAGAGUGUCAAAGAGAUGAAGCACUUGUCCUUUACACAAAUAAGUUGAGAAAAUACAUUUUUUGGCAGUGCUCUCACUGCUGCCCUGUGCUUCAUAACCUGUUGAGCCUUGCAAUGCCAGCUGGCAUUUUGCCAUUCAUUUAUUUAACUUUCCCCUCUUAAAUCAGUGUUCAAUUACAAUAACGUAGGAUUUCUUGGUAUCAUAGCUAAUUGCAAGAAAUAAGUACUUUGCUAUGGAAAAUAAAAGGAAGCCUGGUCUUUUGGGAGCUCCCUUAGGGGAGGGGAGUUCUGUGUAUUUGCAAGAUGUACUUCCUAGGAGGAAUUUCCCUUCUUUGUUGUAAGUGGGAUGGUGAACUUUUAGUGAUCUAUAUUACUGAAACCUCAAAGCUGUUUAUUAGAAAAAAAAAUCCACUGAUCAGCAUCUUCAAAGACAAGAAAUUCAAAGAUUAUGGAUGCCUCUGUUCUUGAACAAAUGUUGGAAGUACUGUGUAAUCUUAACUAUCAUAAUACUUUAUUCUAUAACGUAACUCACUAUCCUUAAUCACGGGGAGCAAAAUAUUACUCUUUUAAAGAGCAUUUAUGUUGUGGGAUCUUUGGUUUAUCUGCUUUGAAGAACAUCUGUAGCAGAAGAACGAGGACUGUGUCUGCUCUAUAGUCUCAGAGGAAGGCAGUAAAAGGUGAGUGAACAUAAUUCACGAAGUGUACUUAGAAUUUCUGAGAGAUGAUCCUUAAGUGCUUAUUCUAGCAGGUACAAUCUACAGUUGUAAUCCUUAUUCUUGUAAGUAUUAGUAAAGAUCCAAGUCCACCUGUUGUAUAUUCUGAUGCCAUUUAUUGUAGCAUUUCUCUUUAAUUUGUUUGCUUCCUUCUUCUGAUGCCCAAAAGAAAGUUGUUGUCAUCAAACUUUUGAUAUUGAAAGGUAAGGGAUAAGUUAAGACUGGUGGAGAUUCCAGAGUCUCUGAGCUUUUAAAAAAGAAGCUAUAAUGAAUAGCCAAGAGAAUUAAAUCUUUACAGAUGACACAGCGGCUUCUUGCUGUCUCAUACUGAAUGCACCACCUGCGAAGAUAUGACUGAAGGCAAAAAGAAGGCAGUCUUCAUGGAGAGAAAACUUAACCCUUGCUAAAGGGGGUGUUUCAAAAGGCUGAAGUGCUAUUCACAUGAAAAAAAUGAGAAGGAUCAUAAACUCUAACAGAUUAAAUGUAUAAAUAAAACUUAACUGUCCAAAAGAGUUUGAGGAACAACUCACAGAAGUAAUAAAUCUUCAAAUGCAUCAAGAACUGUAAGAGUGCCAGAGAUUUUGUGGGGCCAAUAGAUGAUAGAGGUAUCAAAGGAUCGCCUACAUGAAGUAAAGUUCUUGCAGAACAAGUAAAUAAACUAUUUCCGGAGUAGAAAAGGCUGGAGAGAUUCCCAUUUUGGAACCUUUCUUUGUGAAGGGCUCAUCAGAGGAUCAUCUAAAAACUAAACUUUAUAAAUUAUAGAACAGAUAGGAGAGAAAGAAAAAAGAAUAAAGGUCAAUAGCACACAUCUAGAAGCAGAUGGUAUUCAUUUAAGUAUUUUAGAGGAAUUCAGGGGUGAAAUGUCUGAGUGAUUAACACUGGUGUGUAACUCUGUGCUUUACACUGCUUUGAUAGCUGGUAAAUUUGACAGUAGACUUUAAAACACAUUCCAGCUGAGGUCCUGGUGACCCUGUGAAAGUGAUGUCCAGAGUAGGAAAAUUGGUAGAAACAGUAAAGAAAAAUGGAAAUAAUAGAGAUACAGAUAAAUACGAUCAGUUUGGAAAGAGUUAAUACAACUUACGUAAAAGGAAGUUAUACCUAACUAACCUAGCUGCUCUUUGAAGCAGUUUGAUGAAACAUGCUAAGAUAUGAGACACCACUUGAAAUGGAUUGCCUGGAUUUUCAUAAUGCUUUUGGCAAGUUUCCCUUGGGAAAGACUUUUGAGUAUGUUUGUAUACUGCAUACUGGAUAUAUAGUCUAGGUACAUGAGGGCAAGUACUGAUAAAUAACAUACUGAAAAACAGAAAGGGCUGGGGCAUGGUAGGGGAUGGUGUAAGAGGUCAAACUGCAUGUUGAAACAGGGAACAGAGAUGGAGCUCCAUGAGGCUCUGUGCUGGGACCUGCGAUGUCCAUUUCAGUGAAACUCAUGACCAUCCUUUAGAAAAUAUUAAGAAAAAAAGGUAUUCUGUUGUAUGUAGUUCUGACCUGACCUUGUACUGUUACUUCUACUUUGUCAGUCAGUUCUACUAUGUCAGUUUAUGAGCAAGUUUUAGCUGCUGACAUAAGUAUCUGAUUUAAAUGCCUAAAGGAUAGAUGUUAUAAACUUCCACUAUGUAUAAACUUUUGAGUGCUGAGUAACUGAAAGGUGAACACUGGGCAGUCGUGUCACUUAAAAAACCACUUAAAUCUUAGUGUAAAUGCUUUCCCAGGUUGAGCGAUGCAGCUAACCUUGAUCACCAACAGGCAAACCCAGGUGUGGCACAGUGUGAUAUUCUAUCUACAGGUUUCUGAUGACAGUGUACAAUAAGCCAUUUCUCCAGUGGAGUGAUUUUAGAUAUGCACGUGUGAAUAUUGUGUAAUAUUGUGUAAUAAGUUCUGAGUGGAUGAUUAAAUUAGACUUGAAAUCUAAAGAGGGAACGACCAGUCCAGCAAUGAGUGUUGCAACGUAACCCAGCAAGAUGCUCAGCAGCACACAGCCAUUUGCUCACUCCCUGUCAGUGAAAUGCAGGAGUGAACUGAAAAAUGGUAAAAGUGUGAGAACGUAUACAUUGAGACAAAGGCAGUUUAAUAAGAAGGAGAAGAAAAUAAAGAAAUAAAAAGAAUUUAAAAAAGCAAGUGAUGCAUUAGCAGGUCCGAAGAAGAGCAACAAAGCUGGUGAAGGGCAUGGAGAAUGCCCUAUGAGGAGUGACUAUAGUAACUGGGGAUGUUUAGCCUGGGGAAGAGUUGGCUGAGGGGAGACCUUAUUGCUCUCUUCAAAUACCUGAAAGGUGAUUGCAGUGAGAGUGGGGCUGGUCUCUUCUCAGUGGUGACAGGUGACAGGAUAAGGGGAAAUGGCCUCAAGUUGCACCAGGGGAGGUUUCCGUUGGAUAUCAG
Long non-coding RNA from Gallus gallus (chicken), 11317 nucleotides. The record is from Ensembl. Lineage: Eukaryota; Metazoa; Chordata; Aves; Galliformes; Phasianidae.